AUGUUUACAAACUGCCUGAUGAUGUCUAGUGAUUGUAUGGCUCUUGCUCAUGCUGUAGGUGAGGAGGAUAAUAACCAGGAUAACAGCCAGGUGAUGGUAACAGAAACAGAGAAGGAGGAGUCGGUGUCAGACACCUCAGGUGUGCCACAAGAGCAAAGCCUGGAUGUUUGCAGUGGAAAGGGUCCAGAGGCAUCAGCAGCGAGGAGCCUGUUCCCUAACAAAUAUACAGCCCACCCACCAGGAUCUACAGGUCUAGGGAGGAGAGGGGAGUCCCAGAAGGGCAGCUGACACCCAUGUCACCUGCAGGUGUGAGGUGCCAGGGUGAAUUUGUAGCUGGCACUGACUGAAGUAUUAAAGCUUGCAAGUACCUGCCAAAAAAGUGCCACCAGCACUGUGCCAAGCACUGCUGGCUGGGGGAGCACCAAGGGGGCUGCAGCCACAGCAGGGCUCAUUCAGUGGGGUAGGAGAUGCAGGCCUUGGAGCAGCACUUGGCAACAUCAGGUUACAUGUUGGUCUCCUUGUGUGUUCCUCCAUCACAAACAGCAUCAGCGUGGCCUGCACUAAUUGCAACUAAUAAUGAGGCAGCGAGUGAGUUAAGAACAUCUUAUCUGCAGCUCUCUUCCCAGAGGUGGGCUGGCUGCUGAGGUGUCCUCCCAUGUGCCUCUCCACAGCUGCAAUCUGAGCACAUCCUUUCCUCCUUACAGGAGUCUGUGCCUUUUGGGAGCACAUGGACAAGGCACCUGUGUAUGUGUGAUGGUACUUAACCCAAAGCUCUUUCCUAAGGCACUACCUUGGCAAACUGCUUUGAUUCGAAUCCUGGAGCUGUCUACUGGCAAAGAAGUCACUUCACCUUGUGCUGGUGCCUGAUUGUAAGAGACUAAAACAAAUAGUUUAGUUGCCUGAAAAUGGUAUGGUGUUAUUCUGUUUAUGUUCCAGAAGCCUUGCUGCUCUGUGCCUCUCAGAACAGACAUCUGCCAUGGAACUAACCUUUGUGCAAAAUUAUCUGACUGGAUUCAUGAUGCUGCUGUGUAGAAAUAAGUGAUUAAUCUAUGGUGUCAAACUUCCAGGCUACAUUUAAUUUCUAAAAUAAAAUCUUGAUGUGAGAACA
RNAcentral lists this long non-coding RNA (1108 nucleotides) under Cyanistes caeruleus (blue tit). RNAcentral describes it as "lncRNA (ENSCCEG00000019005.1)". Lineage: Eukaryota; Metazoa; Chordata; Aves; Passeriformes; Paridae. The record is from RNAcentral.